AGCUGUGCUGAUUUAUUCGGGUUUCCUUGACUAAUUUUAAAAUUAGUCUAUAAUGGGAAUUGUCUGUUUCCAUCUACAAAAUCUUUCAACACCAUUGUUCAAUCAACUGAGAUGCCCAAAAAUCCUAACAAUAAUAUGAUCGGACACCUCCUUCCCCCCGUGCCCCACACUUUUCUUCAAGAUCAAUUUUGUAAUCCUUCGAAAUUGAGGAGAAACUAGGGCGGGGGCUGUAACCUCUUAUUGUUUUCAUCCAUGACAUAAAAUAUACCAAAUCUGUGGCUUUCAGAAGAUUAUCAUAAAACGUUCUAAAAUGCAUGAAAUAGCGUAUCGGGGUCCGGAGACCAUAAUUAUUGAAAGGUUUUCCUGGAGACCAUGUCCCCUCCCUCCCACACAUUUGGGGGUGCUAUGCCCCUGUCCCCUACAUAGAUAUCUUAUAUACACUAGAUAGCGCGUCUCUUUUAGUACAAUUGAAGCCAAGAAUAUUCCAGCGGUUACCCCCAUUUGAAUAGAUGGCGGCCAUGUUGGUAGUUCCCACUCGCU
This is a non-coding RNA of Paramuricea clavata, 540 nucleotides long. The record is from the annotation of a GenBank genome assembly. NCBI's taxonomy places the organism in Eukaryota, Metazoa, Cnidaria, Anthozoa, Malacalcyonacea, Plexauridae.